This 1464-nucleotide ribosomal RNA is filed under the name uncultured organism. RNAcentral's name for it is "SSU rRNA". It matches the Rfam family "Bacterial small subunit ribosomal RNA". The record is from RNAcentral.
AUUGAACGCUGGCGGCAGGCCUAACACAUGCAAGUCGAACGGUAACAGGAAGAAGCUUGCUUCUUUGCUGACGAGUGGCGGACGGGUGAGUAAUGUCUGGGAAACUGCCUGAUGGAGGGGGAUAACUACUGGAAACGGUAGCUAAUACCGCAUAACGUCGCAAGACCAAAGAGGGGGACCUUCGGGCCUCUUGCCAUCGGAUGUGCCCAGAUGGGAUUAGCUAGUAGGUGGGGUAAAGGCUCACCUAGGCGACGAUCCCUAGCUGGUCUGAGAGGAUGACCAGCCACACUGGAACUGAGACACGGUCCAGACUCCUACGGGAGGCAGCAGUGGGGAAUAUUGCACAAUGGGCGCAAGCCUGAUGCAGCCAUGCCGCGUGUAUGAAGAAGGCCUUCGGGUUGUAAAGUACUUUCAGCGGGGAGGAAGGGAGUAAAGUUAAUACCUUUGCUCAUUGACGUUACCCGCAGAAGAAGCACCGGCUAACUCCGUGCCAGCAGCCGCGGUAAUACGGAGGGUGCAAGCGUUAAUCGGAAUUACUGGGCGUAAAGCGCACGCAGGCGGUUUGUUAAGUCAGAUGUGAAAUCCCCGGGCUCAACCUGGGAACUGCAUCUGAUACUGGCAAGCUUGAGUCUCGUAGAGGGGGGUAGAAUUCCAGGUGUAGCGGUGAAAUGCGUAGAGAUCUGGAGGAAUACCGGUGGCGAAGGCGGCCCCCUGGACGAAGACUGACGCUCAGGUGCGAAAGCGUGGGGAGCAAACAGGAUUAGAUACCCUGGUAGUCCACGCCGUAAACGAUGUCGACUUGGAGGUUGUGCCCUUGAGGCGUGGCUUCCGGAGCUAACGCGUUAAGUCGACCGCCUGGGGAGUACGGCCGCAAGGUUAAAACUCAAAUGAAUUGACGGGGGCCCGCACAAGCGGUGGAGCAUGUGGUUUAAUUCGAUGCAACGCGAAGAACCUUACCUGGUCUUGACAUCCACAGAACUUUCCAGAGAUGGAUUGGUGCCUUCGGGAACUGUGAGACAGGUGCUGCAUGGCUGUCGUCAGCUCGUGUUGUGAAAUGUUGGGUUAAGUCCCGCAACGAGCGCAACCCUUAUCCUUUGUUGCCAGCGGUCCGGCCGGGAACUCAAAGGAGACUGCCAGUGAUAAACUGGAGGAAGGUGGGGAUGACGUCAAGUCAUCACGGCCCUUACGACCAGGGCUACACACGUGCUACAAUGGCGCAUACAAAGAGAAGCGACCUCGCGAGAGCAAGCGGACCUCAUAAAGUGCGUCGUAGUCCGGAUUGGAGUCUGCAACUCGACUCCAUGAAGUCGGAAUCGCUAGUAAUCGUGGAUCAGAAUGCCACGGUGAAUACGUUCCCGGGCCUUGUACACACCGCCCGUCACACCAUGGGAGUGGGUUGCAAAAGAAGUAGGUAGCUUAACCUUCGGGAGGGCGCUUACCACUUUGUGAUUCAUGACUGGGGUG